GAUCAAGUGAUGAGAGAGAACUGCAACAAUAUGAAGGUCUCAGUCUCGAGAUUUCCAGUAAUUUAGGUCUCUGAUGAUU
Molecule: non-coding RNA, 79 nt
Organism: Eucalyptus grandis
Lineage: Eukaryota; Viridiplantae; Streptophyta; Magnoliopsida; Myrtales; Myrtaceae
Source: Rfam